UACGUAGGGUCCAAGCGUUAUCCGGAAUUACUGGGCGUAAAGAGUUGCGUAGGUGGCAUAGUAAGCGAGUAGUGAAAGCGUGUGGCUCAACCAUACAUCCAUUACUUGAACUGCUAAGCUAGAAGAUGAGAGAGGUAGAUGGAAUUCCUGAUGUAGGGGUAAUAUCCGUAGAUAUUAGGAGGAACACCGAUGGCGUAGGCAGUCUACUGGCUCAUUCUUGACACUCAGGCACGAAAGCGUGGGGAGCAAACAGG
RNAcentral lists this ribosomal RNA (254 nucleotides) under uncultured bacterium. RNAcentral's name for it is "partial 16S ribosomal RNA". It matches the Rfam family "Bacterial small subunit ribosomal RNA", at positions 524 to 776 of the family's 1533-position model. The record is from RNAcentral.